AUUGAACGCUGGCGGCAGGCCUAACACAUGCAAGUCGAACGGUAACAGGAAGAAGCUUGCUUCUUUGCUGACGAGUGGCGGACGGGUGAGUAAUGUCUGGGAAACUGCCUGAUGGAGGGGGAUAACUACUGGAAACGGUAGCUAAUACCGCAUAACGUCGCAAGACCAAAAAGGGGGACCUUCGGGCCCCUUGCCAUCGGAUGUGCCCAGAUGGGAUUAGCUAGUAGGUGGGGUAACGGCUCACCUAGGCGACGAUCCCUAGCUGGUCUGAGAGGAUGACCAGCCACACUGUAACUGAGACACGGUCCAGACUCCUACGGGAGGCAGCAGUGGGGAAUAUUGCACAAUGGGCGCGAGCCUGAUGCAGCCAUGCCGCGUGUAUGAAGAAGGCCUUCUGGUUGUAGAGUACUUUCGGCGGGGAGGAAGGGAGUAAAGUUAAUACCUGUGCUCAUUGACGUUACCCGCAGAAGAAGCACCGGCUAACUCCGUG
RNAcentral lists this ribosomal RNA (490 nucleotides) under uncultured bacterium. Its description in RNAcentral is "partial 16S ribosomal RNA". It matches the Rfam family "Bacterial small subunit ribosomal RNA", at positions 30 to 507 of the family's 1533-position model. The record is from RNAcentral.